RNAcentral lists this ribosomal RNA (950 nucleotides) under Bacillus amyloliquefaciens. RNAcentral describes it as "bacterial SSU rRNA". It matches the Rfam family "Bacterial small subunit ribosomal RNA", at positions 40 to 982 of the family's 1533-position model. Lineage: Bacteria; Bacillati; Bacillota; Bacilli; Caryophanales; Bacillaceae. The record is from RNAcentral.
CGGCGUGCUAUACAUGCAGUCGAGCGGACAGAUGGGAGCUUGCUCCCUGAUGUUAGCGGCGGACGGGUGAGUAACACGUGGGUAACCUGCCUGUAAGACUGGGAUAACUCCGGGAAACCGGGGCUAAUACCGGAUGGUUGUUUGAACCGCAUGGUUCAGACAUAAAAGGUGGCUUCGGCUACCACUUACAGAUGGACCCGCGGCGCAUUAGCUAGUUGGUGAGGUAACGGCUCACCAAGGCAACGAUGCGUAGCCGACCUGAGAGGGUGAUCGGCCACACUGGGACUGAGACACGGCCCAGACUCCUACGGGAGGCAGCAGUAGGGAAUCUUCCGCAAUGGACGAAAGUCUGACGGAGCAACGCCGCGUGAGUGAUGAAGGUUUUCGGAUCGUAAAGCUCUGUUGUUAGGGAAGAACAAGUGCCGUUCAAAUAGGGCGGCACCUUGACGGUACCUAACCAGAAAGCCACGGCUAACUACGUGCCAGCAGCCGCGGUAAUACGUAGGUGGCAAGCGUUGUCCGGAAUUAUUGGGCGUAAAGGGCUCGCAGGCGGUUUCUUAAGUCUGAUGUGAAAGCCCCCGGCUCAACCGGGGAGGGUCAUUGGAAACUGGGGAACUUGAGUGCAGAAGAGGAGAGUGGAAUUCCACGUGUAGCGGUGAAAUGCGUAGAGAUGUGGAGGAACACCAGUGGCGAAGGCGACUCUCUGGUCUGUAACUGACGCUGAGGAGCGAAAGCGUGGGGAGCGAACAGGAUUAGAUACCCUGGUAGUCCACGCCGUAAACGAUGAGUGCUAAGUGUUAGGGGGUUUCCGCCCCUUAGUGCUGCAGCUAACGCAUUAAGCACUCCGCCUGGGGAGUACGGUCGCAAGACUGAAACUCAAAGGAAUUGACGGGGGCCCGCACAGCGGUGAGCAUGUGGUUUAUCGAGCACGCGAGAACUUACCAGGUCUG